Molecule: long non-coding RNA, 1231 nt
Filed under: Gossypium raimondii (Peruvian cotton)
Lineage: Eukaryota; Viridiplantae; Streptophyta; Magnoliopsida; Malvales; Malvaceae
Description: long non-coding RNA (GRAI_LNC010905)
Source: RNAcentral
CUGGGCUGGGCGGUACUGGGCCUGCUGCUGCUGCUGGGCUGGCCUGCUAGGUGCUGUUGGGCCUGGACUGGAGUAAACCAGCUGCUGGGCCUGCUGGCUUAGUGCUGGCCUGUUGGCUGGCCUGCUGUUGGCCUGCUAAAGAUGGUCUGCUUUCAUCAUUUUUUCUGCUAUUUUUUUUUGGACAGACCUGGGUGUUUUGCUGUUGGAUCCUGCUGUUUGGAGAGGGCUGUUGGAGCGCGGGUCGGGUCGGGAUGGCUCCGAGGGUCAGGUGGUCGGGUCGGGUUAACCCGACUGACUUUUAAAUUUUUUUCUUUUUUCUUUUUCUUUUUCUUUCUCUUUUUCUUUUUCUUUUUCUUCUCCCUUUUUCUUCUUCUUUUUUCUUUCUUCUUUCUUCUUCUUCGGGCAGCACCUUAACCCCACGUGCGCCUUUGAGGGUGUUUCCUCCACCUGGUACGACGGCCGGUGGUGGCACGGUGGCGAUGAAGGGAUGACUGGGCUUUCUUUUUGGACCUUUCUUUUUGCUUUUUUUCUUGUUUUUUGCUGCUGCGUUUUUGUUUUGCUUCUCUUUUUGUUUCACUUUCUCUUGGCUUCUAGGUGGUGGUACGGUGGCUGCGGUGGAGGGUAGUGGCACGACGGUGGCGAGGGCUGUUGGGCUGUUAUUGUUUGGAUUUUUUUGAAUUUUCUCUGUACUUUUUCUCCUUUCUUUUUUCGAUUCCCCUUUCUUCUCUUCCAUUUUCUUCUUUUUAAUCUCUUCAUUUUUUGUCCUCUUUCUUCUUGUCUUCAGGUGGCAGAGGAGGGCAUCAUGGCCUAGGUCAUCUGCUGAAGUAGCUGGAGGUGAGGGGAAGCACGCUCGGCUGCUGAUUGGGGGGGUCUGACGUGCCCAGAAGGACCAAAAUAUUUGGGCUAAAAAUGUAAUUUUAGGAAAAUAUGGGGCCAAAAUGUAAUUUUCAAAAAGUUUAGGGGUCAAAGUGUAAUUUUGAGAAAGUUUGGGGCCAAAAUGUAAUUUUAGCAAAGUUUGGGGUCAAAAUGUAAAUUUUUAUUUUUUGUAUUUUUUAUUUUAUUAUGACUAUUUUAUAAAUAUUUAAAGCAAACAUUAAAAAUGGGCUAAAACAAUUCUAAAAUUAAAUCCUAAUGGGCCCGAUCAUUGGGCCCAUACGAGACCGACCCGGCCCAAAAUUCAACCCGGGCAAAAUUCAGUGAUUACAGUGCGAACAAAGCGAACUGCAGCAAC